AUCCAGCUGACUAGUCCCAAAUAGGACGAAACGCGCGUCCUGGAU
Molecule: non-coding RNA, 45 nt
Organism: Schistosoma haematobium
Lineage: Eukaryota; Metazoa; Platyhelminthes; Trematoda; Strigeidida; Schistosomatidae
Source: Rfam